AGUGGCGGACGGGUGAGUAACGCGUGGGUAACCUGCCCCAUAGAGGGGGACAACAGCUGGAAACGGCUGCUAAUACCGCAUGGGAAAGCGGGACCGCAUGGUCCUGUUUUGAAAGAUUUAUCGCUAUGGGAUGGACCCGCGUCUGAUUAGCUGGUUGGUAAGGUAACGGCUUACCAAGGCGACGAUCAGUAGCCGGCUUGAGAGAGUGAACGGCCACAUUGGGACUGANACACGGCCCAGACUCCUACGGGAGGCAGCAGUGGGGAAUAUUGCACAAUGGGGGGAACCCUGAUGCAGCGACGCCGCGUGAGUGAAGAAGUAUUUCGGUAUGUAAAGCUCUAUCAGCAGGGAAGAUAAUGACGGUACCUGACUAAGAAGCCCCGGCUAACUACGUGCCAGCAGCCGCGGUAAUACGUAGGGGGCAAGCGUUAUCCGGAUUUACUGGGUGUAAAGGGUGCGUAGGUGGCAGGGCAAGUCAGAUGUGAAAGCCCGGGGCCCAACCCCGGUACUGCAUUUGAAACUGUCCGGCUGGAGUGCAGGAGAGGUAAGCGGAAUUCCUAGUGUAGCGGUGAAAUGCGUAGAUAUUAGGAGGAACACCAGUGGCGAAGGCGGCUUACUGGACUGUAACUGACACUGAGGCNCGAAAGCGGGGGAGCAAACAGGAUAGAUCCCUGGUA
This 677-nucleotide ribosomal RNA is filed under the name uncultured bacterium. RNAcentral describes it as "bacterial SSU rRNA". It matches the Rfam family "Bacterial small subunit ribosomal RNA", at positions 94 to 792 of the family's 1533-position model. The record is from RNAcentral.